This 324-nucleotide ribosomal RNA is filed under the name uncultured eukaryote. RNAcentral's name for it is "partial 18S ribosomal RNA". It matches the Rfam family "Eukaryotic small subunit ribosomal RNA", at positions 1470 to 1796 of the family's 1831-position model. The record is from RNAcentral.
CCCUUAGAUGUUCUGGGCUGCACGCGCGCUACACUGAUGCGUUCAACGAGUUAUUAUUUCCUUGCCCGACAGGGUUGGGUAAUCUUUUGAAAACGCAUCGUGAUGGGGAUAGAUUAUUGUAAUUAUUAAUCUUCAACGAGGAAUUCCUAGUAAGUGCGAAUCAUCAGUUCGCGCUGAUUACGUCCCUGCCCUUUGUACACACCGCCCGGCGCACCUACCGAUUGAAUGGUCCGGUGAAAUCUCGGGACGGCGGCUUGGUCGCUUGCGUCCGACUGCUGAAACUUGAUUAAACCAUAUCAUUUAGAGGAAGGUGAAGUCGUAACA